UUUUUUAUCGGUUUUAGAUGAGCCUAUGUUAGAUUAGCUAGUUGGUGAGGUAAUGGCUCACCAAGGCUAUGAUCUAUAGYUGGUCUGAGAGGAUGAUCAGCCACACUGGAACUGAGAYACGGUCCAGACUCCUACGGGAGGCAGCAGUGGGGAAUAUUGGACAAUGGGCGCAAGCCUGAUCCAGCUACGCCGCGUGAGUGAWGAAGGCCUUAUGGUUGUAAAACUCUUUCAAUGGGGAAGAUAAUGACGGUACCYACAGAAAAAGUCCCGGCWAACUUYGUGCCAGCAGCCGCGGUAAUACGAAGGGGGCUAGCGUURCUCGGAAUUAUUGGGCGUAAAGGGCRCGUAGGUGGACUAGUAAGUCAAAAGUGAAAUCCCUAAGCUUAACUUKRGAACUGCUUUUGAUACUGCUAGGCUUGAGUUCUGAAGAGGAUAGCGGAAUUC
RNAcentral lists this ribosomal RNA (444 nucleotides) under uncultured Ehrlichia sp. Its description in RNAcentral is "partial 16S ribosomal RNA". The record is from RNAcentral. Lineage: Bacteria; Pseudomonadati; Pseudomonadota; Alphaproteobacteria; Rickettsiales; Anaplasmataceae.